AUAGUACCUCCCUGCGUCCCAAAUUUUUUAUCUUAGAUUUGUCUAGAUACAGAUGUAUAUAAUACUAAAACGUGACUUGAUACAUCCGUAUUUAGACAAAUAUAAGACAAGCUUUUUGAGACGAAGGGAGUACCUG
Molecule: non-coding RNA, 136 nt
Organism: Triticum aestivum (bread wheat)
Lineage: Eukaryota; Viridiplantae; Streptophyta; Magnoliopsida; Poales; Poaceae
Source: Rfam